GCUGUCUGAAUUUAUUAGUAUAGAGAGUCUGACCUGCCCGGUGCCUUUUUGGUAAACGGCCGCAGCUAAAACUGUGUUAAUGUAGCGCGAUGAAUUGCCCUUUAAUUGGGGGAGAGUACGAAUGGUUGGACGCGGUCAAGCCUGUGUCAGGAAUAAAACGUGAAAUUUCCUUCUCAGUGAAAAGGCUGAGAUUUUCAUAAUAGACGAGAAGACCCCGUCGAGCUUGGUGAGGUAAUGAAGUUUGGGGUGCCUACAAAGGGAACUUAGCGGUUUAAUGCUGUUCACUCAAGGUGUAUAUAGGUGUAAUGAAGGUUGAUAGUUGCGAGUUGUGUAGCGACAGAAAGAAUAAAAGAAAGUAGUGUGUGAAUUGGUAAUAUUUUAAGAAUAAUAACAGAAGGUAGUGUUGGGUUGGUAAUAUUUACAUUUGUCGGAUGUUGGUAUUGUGAGUAUUAAAAUGUGAGGGUGGGUGUUUUAGUGGCUGUUAAUUUUUGUAACGCUUUGUAUUUUGGGAAUAAAAGUAGUUCGGUUGGAUGAUUGGGGUUUUGUUAAGUUGUUUACCCCAAUUCGAAUAGCUUUGUUGUAUGGUGGGUGGAAACGGUACAUGACCCUUCUAGUUACUGAUGUUUUGUUGGGGCAACACGAAGCUAGAAAGAACGCUUUGGGUCACGGUAUGCGGAUCCUGUAUUGACGGAUAAUCAGCAGAAGUUACCGCGGGGAUAACAGCGUAAUUCUCUCGGAUAGGCCAUAUUGAUGGGAGAGUUUGCGACCUCGAUGUUGAAUCAGGGUAUCUAUUCGCCGCAGCAGGUGUGUAAGUGGGUCUGUUCGCCCUUUAAAACCCUACG
RNAcentral lists this ribosomal RNA (842 nucleotides) under Chama macerophylla. RNAcentral's name for it is "partial 16S ribosomal RNA". It matches the Rfam family "Bacterial large subunit ribosomal RNA", at positions 1818 to 2600 of the family's 2925-position model. The record is from RNAcentral. Lineage: Eukaryota; Metazoa; Mollusca; Bivalvia; Venerida; Chamidae.